GCGCUGGUUUCGCUCAGUGCGUUACUUCCUCAUAAAUGUUAUUUCAUGGUCUGCAGGCCAGAGGUACAAUCCCGGGCGCUGUCCUGUGUUUUU
Molecule: vault RNA, 93 nt
Gene: Vault
Rfam family: Vault RNA
About the family: This family of RNAs are found as part of the enigmatic vault ribonucleoprotein complex. The complex consists of a major vault protein (MVP), two minor vault proteins (VPARP and TEP1), and several small untranslated RNA molecules.
Source: Ensembl